ACUGCUCAGUAACACGUGGAUAACCUACCCAAGAGUCCGGGAUAACCCCGGGAAACUGGGGAUAAUACCGGAUAGAUCAAACAGGCUGGAAGGCGGUUUGGUUGAAACUUCCGGGGCUUUUGGAUGGGUCUGCGGCUGAUUAGGUUGUUGCCGGUGUAACGUACCGUCAAGCCUGUAAUCAGUACGGGUUGUGGGAGCAAGAGCCCGGAGAUGGAUUCUGAGACACGAAUCCAGGCCCUACGGGGCGCAGCAGGCGCGAAAACUCUACAAUGCAGGCAACUGCGAUAGGGGAACAUCGAGUGGCUGUCAUAUUGAUAGUCUGUCCUCCCGCCUAAAAAGCGGGAGUUAGCAAGGGCCGGGCAAGACCGGUGCCAGCCGCCGCGGUAAUACCGGCGGCUCGAGUGGUGGCCGAUAUUAUUGAGUCUAAAGGGUCCGUAGCCGGCUUUGCAAGUCUCUCGGGAAAUCCAGCGGCUUAACCGUUGGUCGUCCGGGGGGUACUGCAUUGCUUGGGACUGGGAGAGGUAGGAGGUACUCAGGGGGUAGGAGUGAAAUCCUGUAAUCCUUUGGGGACCACCGGUGGCGAAGGCGUCCUACCAGAACAGGUCCGACGGUGAGGGACGAAAGCUAGGGGCACGAACCGGAUUAGAUACCCGGGUAGUCCUAGCCGUAAACGAUGCUCGCUAGGUGUCACAACAGUCGUGAACUGUUGUGGUGCCGUAGGGAAACCGUGAAGCGAGCCACUUGGGAAGUACGACCGCAAGGUUGAAACUUAAAGGAAUUGGCGGGGGAGCAC
Molecule: ribosomal RNA, 793 nt
Filed under: uncultured archaeon
Lineage: Archaea
Description: bacterial SSU rRNA
Rfam family: Archaeal small subunit ribosomal RNA
Source: RNAcentral